Molecule: ribosomal RNA, 495 nt
Filed under: uncultured bacterium
Lineage: Bacteria
Description: partial 16S ribosomal RNA
Rfam family: Bacterial small subunit ribosomal RNA
Source: RNAcentral
GACGAACGCUGGCGGCGUGCCUAAUACAUGCAAGUAGAACGCUGAAGGAGGAGCUUGCUUCUCUGGAUGAGUUGCGAACGGGUGAGUAACGCGUAGGUAACCUGCCUGGUAGCGGGGGAUAACUAUUGGAAACGAUAGCUAAUACCGCAUAAGAGUAGAUGUUGCAUGACAUUUGCUUAAAAGGUGCAAUUGCAUCACUACCAGAUGGACCUGCGUUGUAUUAGCUAGUUGGUGGGGUAACGGCUCACCAAGGCGACGAUACAUAGCCGACCUGAGAGGGUGAUCGGCCAGCCUGGGACUGAGACACGGCCCAGACUCCUACGGGAGGCAGCAGUAGGGAAUCUUCGGCAAUGGACGGAAGUCUGACCGAGCAACGCCGCGUGAGUGAAGAAGGUUUUCGGAUCGUAAAGCUCUGUUGUAAGAGAAGAACGAGUGUGAGAGUGGAAAGUUCACACUGUGACGGUAACUUACCAGAAAGGGACGGCUAACUACGUG